RNAcentral lists this ribosomal RNA (240 nucleotides) under uncultured bacterium. Its description in RNAcentral is "partial 16S ribosomal RNA". It matches the Rfam family "Bacterial small subunit ribosomal RNA", at positions 115 to 347 of the family's 1533-position model. The record is from RNAcentral.
ACGUGGGUAACCUGCCUUAUAGUGGGGGAUAGCCUUUCGAAAGGAAGAUUAAUACCGCAUAAGAUUGUAGUAUCGCAUGAUAUAGCAAUUAAAGGAGCAAUUCGCUAUAAGAUGGACCCGCGUCGCAUUAGCUAGUUGGUGAGGUAAUGGCUCACCAAGGCGACGAUGCGUAGCCGACCUGAGAGGGUGAUCGGCCACAUUGGGACUGAGACACGGCCCAGACUCCUACGGGAGAGCAUG